Molecule: unclassified non-coding RNA, 2946 nt
Filed under: Acanthaster planci (crown-of-thorns starfish)
Lineage: Eukaryota; Metazoa; Echinodermata; Asteroidea; Valvatida; Acanthasteridae
Description: uncharacterized LOC110988357, transcript variant X3
Source: RNAcentral
CGGCUCGUCAACAGUCUUGCUGGCGCCAUCUGUGAAGGAAGUCUCGGGGGUUUUCCGCAUUCACUGGCAAGAUUGAAACAAUCCAAAGGAACUGGAGCUCAAUAGGCUCGUCAGGGACUUCAGUGAGACCAUGAAUGGGAUAGCUCGGGAUUGCAGAGUGGAAAAACUGGCCCAAUACAGUUAAGUUUGGACAACGUAUUUGGUGCAAACCGUAAUGUAUUCAUGUUGCCUGGUUCAUGUGUACGGGACGCUUAGGCAACAAUAACGGAUUAUACAAUCAGUUAAUACAAAGAGCACACAAGCUCCACGAGACAUCUAGCCUGCAGUUUCGCCAACACGAUACAAAGCUGGAUUUCUGGGGAGGUCAUCAGCAACAUGUGAUAAUGGCACGUAUAAAGGUUUUCGUCAUCAGUGCAUCUAACGUUAGGGUAGUUCGGGCUUGGCCAAGGCGAAUAUUUCAUCUCCAAGUGUACCCUCAAAAGAAGUGGUAUUUUCGCAGAGGAUUUGUGGUCACCGAGUUUUUGAGUGAAGAAGAAGAAAAAGAAGAAAAAAAAAACAUGCAAGAAUUUGAUCAAGCUCCCAAAAGAAACAGAAGCUGGAGAGCAAUAAAUCACCUUCGGCCACGCAGUUGCCAUGCUAUGGACACAAAUAAACAUCACUUUAAGACAGCCUUUCGGUUCCAGUCCAGGAAUUCAGUACGCCGACACCUCCCGUUGGGCUCAAGAAGAACGGACUCGCAAACUGACAUCCAGCUCGAAAAGGCAGAUCCCUCUUGGCGGAGUUUAGCGUCUGCGACAUUGUCGUCGACGCUGCCGAAAGCAUUUACAUGGAAGUCAUGAAGACCUUCGCCGUUCUUGUUCUCCUGGGGUGUCUCGCCUACGGCGCCUUUGCAUACAGCGACCCUAAAGAAAAUGUCAUUGAGGAUGGCACUAGUACCAUGAGUACAGUGGAUGACUGCAGAAGAGCCGAUUUCUUUGGAGUUGGUCCGGUUACGUCUCAAGAGCCAGCAGUAAUAGAUCAGUGUAGUGUCUUCCUGGAGAGCAUGAGCCCUGGCCAAAGGCAGUCAAUCACAGCACUGUUGUCGACCACUGAUCAUAAUCUGAGCCAUGCAUCACCCAGGUUAGGGUGUGGCAUCAGUGAUACCUUGCAGUUCUCCGUCAUCUUUCAACUCGGCAUCUUUGGCCGCUGCAGGCAAUGGCCACUUCCUCAGUUGGCAUGUCAACCCAAUUGAAGCCCAACCACAUCUCUGCACUAAACUCUCAAGCCAUUUUCUUUCUGUUCUGAUGGCUUAUCCGAGGAAAGAAAAUCUACAGCACUGAUGCCUGACUAUUUGUCUGCAUUGAACAUUCCACAUGAUCGAGUUUCCUGGCUCGUUAACUUCCGUGCCUGCAGUACCUGUCCUGAUGCUGAUGCCCCACGGUACCUUUUGGAAUCACAGAACAUUGCUGAUACAUGUAUGCACACUACCAUUUGAGAGCAACGUCUAUGGUGAGAAUGUUUCACUCGUGCUCAAAGCAGGGUUUAAUUUGCAAGGGGGCACUUGGGGUGCCCGCAUUUUCUAGAGGGGGCACUCGGUGGGGUUCGGUCACAGUUAGAACCCUGACCAAGAAGGACAGUCACCUGAUUUUUUCAUUUCUAAUUUGUGAUGGGGAGGGGGAUCAUGGGGGCAUGGGCCUGCAGGGCUCCCCCUUAGUAACGCUACUCUUCUUAGCGUCAAAUUUGCUUUGAUUUUGCAUUUGGAUGAAGUACAGACUCAAACACAGAGGAUCUAACACUUUUAACUGUCAAUCAAAGCAGACAGUAUUGUUGAUGUUUCACUGGGGAAGCUUUCCCAAGUUGUUGUAAAAUUCCACAUCACUCAUUUAUAUGUUUUCUGUUCUUUUUCCCAUGAGUAUUCACUGUUUUGUGUUCUUUAUGGUUCCAUUGACGCACCUUUUAACAGUCAUCUCAGAUCCCUGAUCAACUUUCUUUAGAGUGAUCAUCCAGUUGUUUCUACAUUUCUGUAAGUAUUGCAGUAAUGAAAACGAAGUCUCUUGCUAAUGGAUACAACAUGAAACAAUAGGUGGACUUUAGCCCCUAACCAUCAAGACCAGAGUGACCAAUCCAGGCCUGAGUGACUUAGUCUCGGCAUCAUGAGCCAGCAAGUGAACUUGAUCCUCUAACCAUCCAAGCGUGAGUGACCCAUCCUAGCUCUAGUUUCAGCAACAUGAACCAGAAGGACAACCAGGGCCUAUAACGAUCGAGGCUUGAGAGACCAAUUCAAGCUCUAAUCUCAGCAACAUGAACCAGCAGGUAGAUUUGAUUAGCCUACAACCAUCCAGGCUUGGGUGACCAAUCCUAACUCUAGUCUCGGCAAUAUGAGCAAGCACGUGCACUUGAGUCAGUCACUACCCAUCUAGGCUGGAGUGAAUAGUCCCAGCUCUUGUCUCAGCAACAUGAACCAGCGGGGGACUUGAUGAGCCUCAAACCAUUCAGGUUGGAGUGAAAAAUCCUAGCUCUAGUCUCAGAAGGAUGAACAAGCACGUUGACCCGAGCCUUUAGCUGUGCAGGCUUGAGUGAUAAUCCUUGCUCUAGUCCCAGCAAUAUAAGCCAGAAGGUGAGCCUGAGCCUCUCAGCAUCCAGGCUGGGGUGACCAAUCCUAGCUCCAGUCUCUGUAACAUUACCCAGCAGGUGGACUUGAGCCUCUCAGCAUCUGGGCUGGGGUGACAAAUCCUAGCUCCAGUCUCUGUAACAUGACCCAGCAGGUGGACUUGAGCCUCUAACCAUCAAGGCUGGAGAGACCAAUUCUAGCUUUAGUCUCAGCAACAGGAACCAGCAGGUGAACUUGAGCCUCUAACCAUCUAGGCUUGAUGGAAACCCUAGCUCUAGUCACAGCAACAGAUGCACAUGAGCCUCUAACCAUCCAGGCCGGAGUGACCAAUCUUAGCUCUAGUCUCAGCAACGUAA